UACGUAGGGUCCGAGCGUUGUCCGGAAUUACUGGGCGUAAAGAGCUCGUAGGUGGUUUGUCGCGUUGUCCGUGAAAACUCACAGCUCAACUGUGGGCGUGCGGGCGAUACGGGCAGACUGGAGUACUGCAGGGGAGACUGGAAUUCCUGGUGUAGCGGUGGAAUGCGCAGAUAUCAGGAGGAACACCGGUGGCGAAGGCGGGUCUCUGGGCAGUAACUGACGCUGAGGAGCGAAAGCGUGGGGAGCGAACGGG
This 253-nucleotide ribosomal RNA is filed under the name uncultured bacterium. RNAcentral describes it as "partial 16S ribosomal RNA". It matches the Rfam family "Bacterial small subunit ribosomal RNA", at positions 524 to 776 of the family's 1533-position model. The record is from RNAcentral.